This 450-nucleotide ribosomal RNA is filed under the name uncultured bacterium. RNAcentral's name for it is "SSU rRNA". It matches the Rfam family "Bacterial small subunit ribosomal RNA", at positions 26 to 518 of the family's 1533-position model. The record is from RNAcentral.
AGAAUGAACGCUGGCGGCAUGCCUAACACAUGCAAGUCGAACGAAUUACCUUCGGGUAGUUAGUGGCGCACGGGUGCGUAACGCGUGGGAAUCUGCCCCUUGGUUCGGAAUAACAGCGAGAAAUUGCUGCUAAUACCGGAUGAUGACGUAAGUCCAAAGAUUUAUCGCCAAGGGAUGAGCCCGCGUAGGAUUAGGUAGUUGGUGUGGUAAAGGCGCACCAAGCCGACGAUCCUUAGCUGGUCUGAGAGGAUGAUCAGCCACACUGGGACUGAGACACGGCCCAGACUCCUACGGGAGGCAGCAGUGGGGAAUAUUGGACAAUGGGCGAAAGCCUGAUCCAGCAAUGCCGCGUGAGUGAUGAAGGCCUUAGGGUUGUAAAGCUCUUUUACCCGGGAUGAUAAUGACAGUACCGGGAGAAUAAGCUCCGGCUAACUCCGCGCCAGCAGCCGC